RNAcentral lists this ribosomal RNA (253 nucleotides) under uncultured bacterium. Its description in RNAcentral is "partial 16S ribosomal RNA". It matches the Rfam family "Bacterial small subunit ribosomal RNA", at positions 524 to 776 of the family's 1533-position model. The record is from RNAcentral.
UACGAGGGGGGCGAGCGUUGUUCGGAAUUAUUGGGCGUAAAGGGUGCGUAGGCGGUUCCGCAAGUCCUGUGUGAAAUCUUCGGGCUCAACUCGAAGUCUGCACGGGAAACUGCGGGGCUUGAGUGUGGGAGAGGUGAGUGGAAUUCCCGGUGUAGCGGUGAAAUGCGUAGAUAUCGUAAGGAAGACCAGUGGCGAAGGCGAGUCUCUGGACAGCAACUGACGCUGAGGCACGAAGGCCAGGGGAGCAAACGGG